ACAUUGGUGGUUCAGAGGUAGAAUUCUUGCCUUCCAUGCAAGAGAUCAAGGUUUGAUUCCCAGCCAAGGCA
RNAcentral lists this transfer RNA (71 nucleotides) under Loxodonta africana (African savanna elephant). It matches the Rfam family "tRNA". From Rfam's summary of the family: Transfer RNA (tRNA) molecules are approximately 80 nucleotides in length. Their secondary structure includes four short double-helical elements and three loops (D, anti-codon, and T loops). The record is from Rfam by way of RNAcentral. Lineage: Eukaryota; Metazoa; Chordata; Mammalia; Proboscidea; Elephantidae.